Long non-coding RNA from Gallus gallus (chicken), 6417 nucleotides. RefSeq lists it as uncharacterized. The transcript is spliced from 3 exons. NCBI's taxonomy places the organism in Eukaryota, Metazoa, Chordata, Aves, Galliformes, Phasianidae. The record is from RefSeq and is a predicted model, not a curated record.
AGCCUGGGAGAAACCACAGGCAAUAGAAAAGCUCUGGUCAAGUCUCUCUCUUUCUCUUUGCUUCUUGGAAACGUGAUGUCAGCUUUCUUGGUAAGGCUUUGCCACACCCCAGCUGGUGCUGGAGCAGGCUGGAGCCUCAAGCCACUUGGGCUGACCGUGGUGCCAGGGUCUGGGGUUGCAAACAUGUGGCAGCCUCAUCAGGAAAGCUGCAGCUCCGGGGGAAUGUCAGCACAGGGCUUGCUGGAAAUUUAUUUCCACCGCCAAAAUCCCAUACUGGUAUAAUUUCUGUGUAUGUGUACCUGCCUUAUGGGGAAAGCAAAGAGAGAAGGGAGUGUAUGCAUUUGGCUGGAUUUCACGGAGGGUUUAUCUAGUGAUAAUGGAGUGCCCUUAGACUGUGCUGAAGUUAAGUGGGAACAAAUGCUCUCAGUAAUCCACAGGACUAAAGAAACCAGAGUCCACAGCCACCUGAUAUGAGAGUUAGGAUGCUGCUGGUUGACCUAGGUCUGAGCACCCUGAUCUAGCUGUAGGUGUCCCUCUUCAUUGCAGGGGAGUUGGACUAGAUGACCUUUGAAGGUCCCUUCCAACUCAAACAAUUCUAUGACUCUAAGUGGUGGAAGUGAUGUGGGCUAGGCCAAUCAGUAGAGAUAUUGUGAGCCUCUACCACAUCCUGGUUGGGAUUUCUGUUGUAAUGAGGUAGCCGUCCAGAAUACUUGGCAAGCACAGGGAUGGAUAGGAAAGCUGAAGGAAGAGAGGAUGCAUUACGUGUGUGUAUGUGGUGCAUACACAGACCCAGUGAGAAGUUCUGGGGGUGGCCACAAGUGCCACAAGAGCAGACCCCUGAGAUGUGGGUUUACACACACUUAGUCAUAUACUUCCUGGGAAAGAAGAUGCUUAUAACCAAAGGAUAACACCAGAGUUUAAUAAGAAAGGCAUGUCUUAAAAAAAAAAAAUGAUGCAAAUAAAUGUCUGUGUUUUUCUGUGUGUUUGUUUAUGUUUAUGUGUUGUAAUGGCUCUUUUUCUUGGAGAAGUGGGGAAAAAAAACUUUGAUGCUUUUAAAAUGUGCAUGGACUGCUGACAGGCUGGGAUAGAGGAUGCCUGUGGGUUUUGGGGUGAGACUGCGGCACUGCGACUAGCUCAGCAAUCAGACAUUGAAGGGUUAGUUCAUACACACAACGGAACCCUCUGAAUUACUGAAUUAAAAUCCUAUACAUUGAUUCCUAGAUGCUGUCACACAAAAGCAUUGAGAUGGCGAUGUUUACAGAUGUGUCUAGAACUCAAUGUACGGAGUCAAGCAGGAGUCCAAAUCCUAAAUUAGGGACUUUGGUUGGGGAGACAUGGAUGGAGGACUUCGAUGGCCUAAAGCAAGUCAUUGUAGCCCCUGAUUUUAUGGGCUGUGCUCUGUGUGUAGUGUCACUGCAAAGAUAACUCUGCAGUUAAUCAGUAUUUUGGCAGUGAUGUGUGAAACUGAGUGCUGGUAUGCAUACAUUAGCCCCUAUUUGAAAACACAUGGCUGUAAACUAUGUCACUUUCCCCUUUACUUUCUGCCCUUCCUUUCCAACAAAUAAUGGGAUUUUCAGUACUUCUUGUAAGUGUACAGGUGUCUUCUGUAUUUAUUUCUGGCGGAGCAGCAGAACAGAGGUGGAUAUAAACUGACCUUUGGGAAGAUACCAUAGACAAAACCUGAUCUAUCAUGGGGAGAGAUGGUGAGCACCAGCUGCUGACAAGGUGGAGAACUAUCAAGGAGUUUGCUUUUUGAUGGGUUACCUUUGGGAAAACUGCAGUGCUUCAGGCGUGGUAGAAGCUACAAGAUGGAAGUAGAGGGAUGAAAAUGCUCUAUGAAAUUAUGGUGGAGUCUUCAAAGCCAUCCCUUGUCCAAGAACUCCUGUGGUUCAGAAGACACUGGCCAACAGAGCUCUUCCUUCACUCAGAAACCUGUCCCUUUUUUGGAGCAAACUCUGUUUUCUCACUGAUUUCACAAUGACCAGCGUAGGGUUUCUUUGGUGAGAACAAAACUUCCACGGUCUCCACAAUGGAAAAUCCCUUCAGGAACAGGCCUCAUGGAGCAAGGAGGCCUUGCUGGAGCUGAUGGCUCACCCAUUAGCGUGGGUCUCUAAGCUCAGACUGUGUCCAGCUGCAGAUGCAUUCCUGCCUCCAAAAGGCAAAGCAGGUGCAUUCCCAGCUCUCACACCAAGUGAAGCCGCAUGCCCUGAUGGCAGUGCUCAGGGAAUCACACCCCUCCAAGCACUUGGUUGGGAUUCUACAACCUUCUGCAGCACAUCUGAGAGCGACGCAUCUAUGCCAGUGCAAGAUGAGAAGUGGGCUCUGGGCUUGUCAGUACAUUCAGCAAGAAAUACUCUUCCUGACACAGAAAGGGUCUGGUGUUUCACUGCUGCUGUAAAUGUCCCAGUGACCACAAGUGGCCUUGGCUGACAUUGCCAUGUCAGUCGUUAAAAGGAAGAGGCCGCAAGCAAUGAACCAUGGAUACUGCCUGGUAAAAGGAAGGGGAUACCAUGAUCUGCUGGAACACUUGAAAUGCCCUCUGGGCUCCUGAAAGCUGGACUGAAUGACGAAAUGUGAGAAUCUCAGACAUCUCUCCUCAACUUAAUAUUGUGCAGACCCUUCUGGAUGGGCUUGGGACGUCCCUGGGAGACAACAGGUAUGUGUGGGAGCUGGAGUGUGUUCGAGAUGGUGGCGGAUGUCCCAUCAUCAGACUUUUUUUUCAUAAGAUAAGUUCAGUUAUGCUUCUGAUGCGGCAGCCCCCUCACACAGGAAAUUUAAAAGCAUUUUUGAUGGCAGAGUAAAAAGAAUGUAAUCAAAAGAGUAUUUUAAAAUUUAGUUGUUUAUUUAUUCAUGGUUUGUUUUCUCUGCCUUCUCUUAGCUUUCUCCUCCUCGUUUACAACUUUGAGGGAAAGGAGCCAGGUUCUUUCACCCCCUGAAAGGUUUAACACAGGUUAAAGCAGCAGCUUAGGAUUUUUCCUCGGUAAUAACCGGCAAACAAAGCUAAAUCCUUUUGCAGAACAACAAAUUUAAUCGGACAGGCAGCUUUGCACCAGCUUCCGCCAAUCCACAGCCCGCUGCGGAGGCACAGGCAUCUACUGGGCCAAAGCCAUCCCUGGGGAGGCUGGCAGUGCUCCAGCCCCAGCCUGCCCAGGAGAUAAAGCUUCCAGCCUGUUGGGAACACAUAGCAAAGCCUGUGACUGUCCCAUCAGUACGCACCGUUGGGAAACUAUUACAGGAAUGUGCAGUUCAACAAGCCUCUACACACAAGACUCUGUUUCUUUCCCCUUGAGAUAAGAUUUUGUGUUAUGCAUUCUCAGGGCUUCCCCUGUUUUGCUGGCCAGAGGAAUCCUGGCUUAACCCAGUAAAUGAUGGAAGGGGCCCAAAACAGAGGACACAGGCAGGCCUUGUCAUCUGAGGUUCCUGCAAGCCACCUGGCAGUGCAUUAGGGAAGGGUUUUUUAAGGCUGGAAAAGUCAUCCCUGAGGCAUCUAUCCACAGUGAAAGCACAUAGCAGCUGGAUGCUGGCUUGGGGCUACCUGAGCGAGAUGCCACCAGCAGUGUAGCUGGGGCAGCCCAGAGCUCAAGGUGCACAGCCCGCCCAGUCCUCAGGGCAGUAUGCUGGCUAAUAGCUUACCAUGAGCUCCAUGGUUGCGGUUAUCAGCACACGCACCAUAGAGUUUAUAUCCAAUAUGAACUCAUCUGCCUGACCCAUGGACUGGCCUCUGGUUGCAAUGCCUCUGUACACUUAGCCCCUGAGCCCCCUCCUGUGCUGGCUCUUUUGGCAGACCACUGAAUCCACAUAACACAUUUUUAAAAGGAAAGAAUAACGCCCGCCCUCCACUCAGAGGCUAAAUGGAGAAAAGCUUUGUUCAAACACAAGUGCAUGAAAAGGCUCCAAAGUCAUUUUCUUGAAAAUGGCUGGGAAUCAUUUCUUUCUUUGCUUCAGAGCUUUUUCUUAAUCUUUUUUUUUUUUUCUUUCCCUUCUUCUUUUUAUGUAAAUACUUACAACAAUGGCUAAUUCUCAGAAAAAAAUGUAAGCUAUUUCUCAGUGGGAUUCUGGUCUGCCCAUUUCUUCAUUCCAAACUUUUGUCUUUAAAGCUGAGGUCUUGGCUAAAUUAUAUAGCUCCACGUUUAGCUAGGUACUCCCUUUCCAGAACUAGCCUGUUGGGACUGAGAAUUAUUCCUGUUAAAAGCCUAAAAUAAAAUAAUCUCUUCCAAAUGACUUAUUCUUGGCUCUGGCAACUGAUUGUGUAUAUAUGCCCUAAGCUGUAUUAACGUGGAAGUAAUAGAUCACAGAGAGCUUGUAGCAUUGUAUAUGUUACUCGCACAUUAAGCCUAUGGACAUGACAUCACUGCCCUUGUUCUGGGCUCCGGUGAUGGUGUAGCCAAAAGGAGUAACUGAGAACACAUUGCAUUGUUCUUCUCAGCUGCUGGGGCCAUAUUGACUUUGUGAAUCAUGCUCAGCAUGCAGGGAUGAUACAUCCCGUCAUUAUGUUACUAAUGCAAUGCCCCAGUCUGAGCAGGGGAUGUUCCCUGCUCUAAGAAAACAGGGAAGAGCAGAAAAGUUUGGGAACGGGUCACAAACUCCUUGCCAUCUCCUAGUCUGUUUGAGUUCACUCAUCUGUGGCACAAAAACAACAGCAAGAUGUUAAACUGUUAUAAACAGGGGACUAUCUUGAGGCUUACAUGAGAUAACUGUUAUUUUUUCAGUGAAUCCUAUUGAGAUGCUUAAGCUGACUGCAAGACGCAAAGAACUGACUUUGAAUACCAUCCUUUCCUUUAUCUUUCUUUGGGCUGCCAGCAAGGAGGCCCAGAGAGGUGGAGAGCUGGAAGAGGAAGACUGCUCUGCUGGCUUUCUCUCUGAAUAAAAGGAGCUAAAAGAGCCUAGAGGCAGACCUAAUACCCAGACAUUUUGAUUUUUACAUGUCACUAUAAGUGAGAGAAUUUGUGUAAUAAAACAAUAAUAAUUUCACCAUAAAAAUGGGGAUAAUACAAUUUUCAGUAAGUGUAAAAAGCUGGGAUUAGCUGUGCCCAUCGUAGGUGACCACCCUUAGCUUCAAGCAAUUGUUUGCAGUCUCAAGAGGCAGAAAUACAGCAAAUUAGAGGGCCAGCAAAGUUUGUUUAAGAACUUAUCUUUGAGCACCCAAAAGCCAGGACUCAGUGAGGAUGAGGAGGAGUUAGCAGGAACAGCAAGUGAUGGGGCAUGCUUAGCUGGAGCCACCAAGAGGAGCCACAAGCUUCAAAGAUCUGUCAGUGGCUGCCACUCCAGCUCAGCUGCAGCUCCGAAGAACCCUCUGCUGCCCGGUAGGUGAGUGGAGGAGCCCCAGGCUGUCAGCUGUGCAGAGAGUUUCCAAAGCUGACAGGAGCAAUAGUCUGCUGUAGUGACACUUCAGAAGGCAAUGAGAGAUGGCUUUGGUAAGUGUCCCUGUGCUACAGGAAUGGGUAUCCAUACCGGUUAUUUUGUAUACGCUCCUUUGUCCUUUUCUCACUUUUCUUCAAUGCUGUUCUGUUAAACCAUUUAUGAUUUGAGGGCAAGGAAACAGAGCUCUGUGAAUGCUGAUUAAUUUUCUCAGGUGGGGGAGUGGGAACACAAAAUUCUGGUUAUUAGUGACCUUUAGAAACUGAACUUUGCCUCUGUCAAGGUCUGGAUGAAAGAGUUCACUUCUUGCUUCCUUCGUUUUUUCCCUUGGUACCACAAAAAUGGGGUUUCCAUUUUUAUAUACAACAAAAAGAGAUAAAGGGCCUGAACAUCUGAAAGUCUAGCAGUUUUUUACACCUGUGCUAAGCAGAGUCUGAGUUCUUCUCAGCAUCUGAGGCAUGUUUACCAUGUGUGGUAUCAGUAUGUGAAUGUGAAUGUAGGAGCCAGAUAUCAAAUCACAGAAUCACAGGGCUUGGAAGGGACCUCUGGAGAUCAUCUAGUCCAACCCUCCACUAAAUCAGGAUCCCUUUAAAUAUUGGAAGGCUUACACAGGAAAGUAUCCAGGCAGGUUUUGAACAUCUACAGAGAAGGAGACUCCACAGCCUCCCUGGGCAGCCUGUUCCAGUGCUGUCACCCUCAAGGUAAAGUUCUUUCUCAUAUUCCAAUGGAACUUCCUCUGCUCCAGUGUGAAUUUGUUGCCCCUUGUCCUGUCACUGAGCGCCACCAAGAAGAUGGAGCCUGGCCCCAUCAACCUGACACACCUCCAUUAGAUUAUAGCAUUGAUAAGAUCUUCCCUCAGCCUUCUCUAGGCUGAACAGUUCCAGGGCUCUCAGCCUUCCCUCAUAAGGGAGACGCUCCAGGCCCCUCACCAUUUCAGUGGCUCUCCACUGGGCUCUCUCUAGAAGUUCUCUGUCUUUCUUGAACUGGGGAGCCCAGACCUGGACACAGCACUCCAGACGUGGCCUCAGUGGGGCAGAGCAGAGGGGGGGGAUCACCUCC